Molecule: transfer RNA, 97 nt
Filed under: Penicillium vulpinum
Lineage: Eukaryota; Fungi; Ascomycota; Eurotiomycetes; Eurotiales; Aspergillaceae
Rfam family: tRNA
About the family: Transfer RNA (tRNA) molecules are approximately 80 nucleotides in length. Their secondary structure includes four short double-helical elements and three loops (D, anti-codon, and T loops).
Source: Rfam by way of RNAcentral
GCCAGCGUAGCUCAAUGGUAGAGCGUCAGGCUUUUACUGUUUCAUAAAUGAAAAUAUUAUAACCUGAAUGUUGCGGGUUCGACCCCCGCCGUUGGCU